AUAUAUAUGCUAUUCGUACCGAAGAAAGUAACUGGGUAUUACCCUUAAUUUGUUACCGAGGAAUGAAACAUCAUUUAUAAGAUCUAUUCUAAUAGAUUAUUAGUGUGUUUUUAAUUAACCUCGGAAAUAACUUUUCGAGGUUUUAUUUUGAUUUU
Molecule: regulatory RNA element, 155 nt
Organism: Spiroplasma helicoides
Lineage: Bacteria; Bacillati; Mycoplasmatota; Mollicutes; Entomoplasmatales; Spiroplasmataceae
Rfam family: Ribosomal protein L10 leader
About the family: This family is a putative r-protein leader autoregulatory structure found in B. subtilis and other low-GC Gram-positive bacteria. It is located in the 5' untranslated regions of mRNAs encoding ribosomal proteins L10 and L12 (rplJ-rplL). A Rho-independent transcription terminator structure that is probably involved in regulation is included at the 3' end.
Source: Rfam